GCGUGGAGGACGAAGGUCUUCGGAUUGUAAACUCCUUUUGCCGGUGACAAAAAACCGCGUGAACAACGCGGGCUGAUGGUAACCGGUGAAUAAGCCACGGCUAACUUCGUGCCAGCAGCCGCGGUAAGACGAAGGUGGCGAGCGUUACUCGGAAUUACUAGGCGUAAAGCGUGGGCAGGCGGCUUGGAAAGUCUUUUGUGAAAGCCUUGGGCUCAACCCAGGGAGGUCAAAGGAUACUUCCGGGCUUGGAUAUGGGAGAGGUCGCUGGAAUUCCUGGUGUAGCGGUGAAAUGCGU
Molecule: ribosomal RNA, 295 nt
Filed under: uncultured bacterium
Lineage: Bacteria
Description: partial 16S ribosomal RNA
Rfam family: Bacterial small subunit ribosomal RNA
Source: RNAcentral